Molecule: ribosomal RNA, 511 nt
Filed under: uncultured bacterium
Lineage: Bacteria
Description: partial 16S ribosomal RNA
Rfam family: Bacterial small subunit ribosomal RNA
Source: RNAcentral
GACGAACGCUGGCGGCGUGCCUAAUACAUGCAAGUGGAACGCUGAAGGAGGAGCUUACUUCUCUGGAUGAGUUGCGAACGGGUGAGUAACGCGUAGGUAACCUGCCUGGUAGCGGGGGAUAACUAUUGGAAACGAUAGCUAAUACCGCAUAAGAGUAGAUGUUGCAUGACAUUUACUUAAAAGGUGCAAUUGCACCACUACCAGAUGGACCUGCGUUGUAUUAGCUAGUUGGUGGGGUAACGGCUUACCAAGGCGACGAUACGUAGCCGACCUGAGAGGGUGAUCGGCCACACUGGGACUGAGACACGGCCCAGACUCCUACGGGAGGCAGCAGUAGGGAAUCUUCGGCAAUGGACGGAAGUCUGACCGAGCAACGCCGCGUGAGUGAAGAAGGUUUUCGGAUCGUAAAGCUCUGUUGUAAGAGAAGAACGAGUGUGAGAGUGGAAAGUUCACACUGUGACGGUAUCUUACCAGAAAGGGACGGCUAACUACGUGCCAGCCGCCGCAGUAA